RNAcentral lists this ribosomal RNA (706 nucleotides) under uncultured organism. RNAcentral's name for it is "bacterial SSU rRNA". It matches the Rfam family "Bacterial small subunit ribosomal RNA", at positions 465 to 1173 of the family's 1533-position model. The record is from RNAcentral.
GGGGUUGACGGUACCCUACUAGAAAGGAGCCGCUAACUUCGUGCCAGAAGCGUCGGUAAUACGGGGGCUCCAAGCGUUAUCCGGUGUUAUUGGGCGUAAAGAGUCGUGUAGGUGGUUGGGUAAGUUAUCUUUCAAAUAUCUUUGCUUAACAAAGAGGAGGGGGAUAAUACUGCUCGACUAGAAUUUUCUCAAGGGAGAUCGGAACUGAGGGAGGAGUAGUGAAAUGCGUUGAUACCCUCGGGAACACCAGUGGCGUAGGCGGAUCUCUGGGAGAAGAUUGACACUGAGACACGAAAGCUAGGGGAGCGAAGCAGAUUAGAGACCUGCGUAGUCCUAGCCGUAAACGCAUGCUUGCUAGCUGCAUGAAUCUACCUUCGGGUGGUAUCGUGUGGCGAAGGUAACCCGUUAAGCAAGCCGCCUGGAAAGUACGGCCGCAAGGCUGAAAUUCAAAGGAAUUGGCGGGGAGGCACACAACCAGUGGAACAUGUGGUUUAAUUCGAGACUAACCGAAGAACCUCACCAGGGUUUGACAUGUAGCUGCACGUCUUAAGAAAUUAAGACUCUCUUGAAGGUGCUACACAGGUGCUGCAUGGCUGUCGUCAGCUCGUUCCGUGAGGAGUGCCCUUAAGUGGGACAACGAGCGCAACCCCUAUUACAUGUUAGAAAUGUCAUGUAAGACUGCCUUGCCAUUUGGCGGGGAGGAAGG